Molecule: ribosomal RNA, 254 nt
Filed under: uncultured bacterium
Lineage: Bacteria
Description: partial 16S ribosomal RNA
Rfam family: Bacterial small subunit ribosomal RNA
Source: RNAcentral
UACAGGGGGUGCAAGCGUUGCUCGGAAUCACUGGGCGUAAAGGGCGCGUAGGCGGCUUCUCAAGCGUGUGGUGAAAGUCCGGGGCUCAACCCCGGAUCGGCCGUGCGGACUGGGGAGCUCGAGUUCUGUAGAGGCGGGUGGAAUUCCGGGUGUAGCGGUGGAAUGCGUAGAGAUCCGGAAGAACACCGGUGGCGAAGGCGGCCCGCUGGGCAGAGACUGACGCUGAGGCGCGACAGCGUGGGGAGCAAACGAGG